UACGAAGGGUGCUAGCGUUGCUCGGAAUCACUGGGCGUAAAGCGCACGUAGGCGGCUCUUUAAGUCAGGGGUGAAAUCCCGGAGCUCAACUCCGGAACUGCCUUUGAUACUGGCGAUCUCGAGUCCGGGAGAGGUGAGUGGAACUGCGAGUGUAGAGGUGAAAUUCGUAGAUAUUCGCAAGAACACCAGUGGCGAAGGCGGCUCACUGGCCCGGUACUGACGCUGAGGUGCGAAAGCGUGGGGAGCAAACAGG
This 253-nucleotide ribosomal RNA is filed under the name uncultured bacterium. RNAcentral describes it as "partial 16S ribosomal RNA". It matches the Rfam family "Bacterial small subunit ribosomal RNA", at positions 524 to 776 of the family's 1533-position model. The record is from RNAcentral.